This 122-nucleotide ribosomal RNA is filed under the name Macrococcoides caseolyticum. RNAcentral describes it as "Macrococcus caseolyticus partial 16S ribosomal RNA". It matches the Rfam family "Bacterial small subunit ribosomal RNA", at positions 1420 to 1533 of the family's 1533-position model. Lineage: Bacteria; Bacillati; Bacillota; Bacilli; Caryophanales; Staphylococcaceae. The record is from RNAcentral.
CCCGAAGCCGGUGGAGUAACCUUUUAGGAGCUAGCCGUCGAAGGUGGGACAGAUGAUUGGGGUGAAGUCGUAACAAGGUAGCCGUAUCGGAAGGUGCGGCUGGAUCACCUCCUUUCUAAGGA